Stegodyphus mimosarum is the source of this 46-nucleotide non-coding RNA. Lineage: Eukaryota; Metazoa; Arthropoda; Arachnida; Araneae; Eresidae. The record is from Rfam.
UCUUAGGUUUUUUUAAAAACCACUGUAUAUGAAUCUACACAUCUAG